This 710-nucleotide long non-coding RNA is filed under the name Ananas comosus (pineapple). RNAcentral's name for it is "long non-coding RNA (ACOM_LNC031935)". The record is from RNAcentral. Lineage: Eukaryota; Viridiplantae; Streptophyta; Magnoliopsida; Poales; Bromeliaceae.
CCUCCUCAAACUUUAUUUUAUAGGUUAAUUGCAUGCAGCUCCCUGUAAACAUAUCGAAUAGCAGCAGAUAUAUCCCCACAAAGCUUUAUAUUUUAUAUUUAUUCAUAUAAAAGUUUUAACAUUUUCGAAUAUACCUCUACUGUUAUGAUUAAUUAGAAAAAAAUAGUUAACCGUCGAUAAAAUAGUUGAUCCUGAUUAGUGAAUGCGAUAAAUUGACAUUUUUAUCCCUUUUAUAUUAUUUUUGAAAGAAUAUUUCUAUAUUAUUUUAAUAGUUGGGGUUUUUAAAGGAACAUAUUUGUGAUGACAAAAAUGUCAUUUCACUUAUCUACUAAUAACAAAUAAACAGUGCUCUAAUGAUAACAAACCAGAGAGACAAAUAUGAAUAUCACCGGACUUUUGCAUGGAUAAAUAUAGAAAGUUGAUCUUUUUAGAAAUAUAUUUGCUAUAUAUAUUCGAUAUGUUUACAAGAAGCUGUAUGAAAUUAACACUUAUUUUAUUAUUAUUUCAGACACGAACUUUCAAAAUUAUUACAAUUUAGUUCCAUAACCAAAUUUAGCUGAUUAAAUAUUAAUAUAUCGCUAAUACGGAAGCAUUACGUAUAGUAUUAUGAUUGGUGAUGCGCCUGUGUAAAUAUUCAAUCAACUAAAUUGUCAGAAAUUAUAACAAAUUGAUCUAAAAUCUAUCUGUUCGAAAAGGCGAGCUAGUGUAUU